AGCGAACGCUGGCGGCAGGCUUAACACAUGCAAGUCGAGCGGGCGUAGCAAUACGUCAGCGGCAGACGGGUGAGUAACGCGUGGGAACGUACCUUUUGGUUCGGAACAACACAGGGAAACUUGUGCUAAUACCGGAUAAGCCCUUACGGGGAAAGAUUUAUCGCCGAAAGAUCGGCCCGCGUCUGAUUAGCUAGUUGGUGAGGAAACGGCUCACCAAGGCGACGAUCAGUAGCUGGUCUGAGAGGAUGAUCAGCCACAUUGGGACUGAGACACGGCCCAAACUCCUACGGGAGGCAGCAGUGGGGAAUAUUGGACAAUGGGGGCAACCCUGAUCCAGCCAUGCCGCGUGAGUGAUGAAGGCCCUAGGGUUGUAAAGCUCUUUUGUGCGGGAAGAUAAUGACGGUACCGCAAGAAUAAGCCCCGGCUAACUUCGUG
Molecule: ribosomal RNA, 435 nt
Filed under: uncultured bacterium
Lineage: Bacteria
Description: partial 16S ribosomal RNA
Rfam family: Bacterial small subunit ribosomal RNA
Source: RNAcentral